UCUAACGUGGUGACGGGAGGGGGUGGAAUACGUGGGGGGGGAGGUUUAAUGGGAAUUACUGGGCGUAAAGCGUGCGGAGGGGGGUGGCCGUGUCCGAUGUGAAAGCCCCGUGCUUAACAUGGGAAUGGCAGUGGAAACUGGCUGGCGGGAGUGUGGCAGAGGGGGGUGGAAUUCCACGUGUAGCAGUGAAAUGCGUAGAGAUGUGGAGGAACACCGAUGGCGAAGGCAGCCCCCUGGGCCAACACUGACGCUCAGGCACGAAAGCGUGGGGAGCAAACAGGAUUAGAUACCCCUGUAGUC
Molecule: ribosomal RNA, 300 nt
Filed under: uncultured Lactobacillus sp.
Lineage: Bacteria; Bacillati; Bacillota; Bacilli; Lactobacillales; Lactobacillaceae
Description: partial 16S ribosomal RNA
Rfam family: Bacterial small subunit ribosomal RNA (bases 52-300)
Source: RNAcentral